UUUCCGUAGGUGAACCUGCGGAGGGAUCAUUACAGAGUUCAUGCCCUAACGGGUAGAUCUCCCACCCUAUGUUAUCAUCACUUUGUUGCUUUGGCGGGCCGUCAGGCCUCGGCUUGGCUACCGGCUCUCGCUGGUAAGCGCCCGCCAGAGAACCCCAAACCCUGAAUAUCAGUGUCGUCUGAGUACUAUAUAAUAGUUAAAACUUUCAACAACGGAUCUCUUGGUUCU
Molecule: unclassified non-coding RNA, 228 nt
Filed under: plant metagenome
Description: partial contains small subunit ribosomal RNA, internal transcribed spacer 1, and 5.8S ribosomal RNA
Source: RNAcentral